Molecule: ribosomal RNA, 468 nt
Filed under: uncultured bacterium
Lineage: Bacteria
Description: partial 16S ribosomal RNA
Rfam family: Bacterial small subunit ribosomal RNA
Source: RNAcentral
GACGAACGCUGGCGGCGUGCUUAACACAUGCAAGUCGAACGGAAAGGCCCUGCUUUUGUGGGGUGCUCGAGUGGCGAACGGGUGAGUAACACGUGAGUAACCUGCCCUUGACUUUGGGAUAACUUCAGGAAACUGGGGCUAAUACCGGAUAGGAGCUCCUGCUGCAUGGUGUGGGUUGGAAAGUUUCGGCGGUGGGGGAUGGACUCGCGGCUUAUCAGCUUGUUGGUGGGGUAGUGGCUUACCAAGGCUUUGACGGGUAGCCGGCCUGAGAGGGUGACAGGCCACACUGGGACUGAGAUACGGCACAGACUCCUAAGGGAGGCAGCAGUGCGGAAGAUUGCACAAUGGGCGGAAGCCGGAUGAAGCAACGCCGCGUGCGGGAUGACGGCCUUCGGGUUGUAAACCGAUUUUGCAUGUGACGAAGCGUGAGUGAAGGUAAUGGGUACAGAAGCACCGGCUAACUACGUG